This 157-nucleotide ribosomal RNA is filed under the name uncultured soil bacterium. Its description in RNAcentral is "partial 16S ribosomal RNA". It matches the Rfam family "Bacterial small subunit ribosomal RNA", at positions 374 to 524 of the family's 1533-position model. The record is from RNAcentral.
GGCGAAGCCUGAUCCAGCCAUGCCGCGUGUGUGAAGAAGGUCUUCGGAUUGUAAAGCACUUUAAGUUGGGAGGAAGGGCAGUAACUUAAUACGUUGCUGUUUUGACGUUACCGACAGAAUAAGCACCGGCUAACUCUGUGCCAGCAGCCGCGGUAAU